UAUGAUCCAGAGUACCACGGGACACGUGAAACCCUGUGGGAAGCAGGAGGGACCACCCUCCAAGGCUAAAUACUACCUAGUGACCGAUAGCGUAUAGUACCGUGAGGGAAAGGUGAAAAGAACCCCGGGAGGGGAGUGAAAUAGAACCUGAAACCCUGCACUUACAAGCUGUGGAAGCACAUUUCUUGUGUGACCGCGUACUUUUUGUAGAACGGGCCAACGAGUUACGUUAAGUAGCAAGGUUAAGCACUUAAGGUGCGGAGCCGUAGCGAAAGCGAGUUUUAACUGAGCGUUCAGUUACUUGACGUAGACCCGAAACCGGGCGACCUACCCAUGAGCAGGAUGAAGCGAAAGUAAAAUUUCGUGGAGGUCCGAACCCACGAGCGUUGAAAAGCUCGGGGAUGACUUGUGGGUAGCGGUGAAAUUCCAAUCGAGCCCGGAGAUAGCUGGUUCUCCCCGAAAUAGCUUUAGGGCUAGCCUCAAGGUGAGAGAUACGGAGGUAGAGCACUGAAUGUCCUAGGGGGUAUUGCACCUACCGAAGACUAUCAAACUCCGAAUGCCGUCAUCUUAUACUUGGGAGUCAGACUGUGGGUGAUAAGAUUCAUAGUCGAAAGGGCAACAGCCCAGAUCGUCAGCUAAGGUCCCUAAAUGUAAGUUAAGUGGUAAAGGAUGUGGGAUUGCACAGACAACCAGGAUGUUGGCUUAGAAGCAGCCACUCAUUCAAAGAGUGCGUAAUAGCUCACUGGUCGAGUGAUCCUGCGCCGAAGAUUUCCGGGGCUAAAACUUACUACCGAAGCUACGGCAUCAGUAAUGAUGGGUAGGGGAGCUUCCCAUACGGGUUGAAGCAUGACCGUAAGGACAUGUGGACAGUAUGGGAGUGAGAAUGUUGGCAUGAGUAGCGAGAUGUGGGUGAGAAUCCCACAGGCCGUAAACCCAAGGUUUCCAGGGGAAGGUUCGUCCGCCCUGGGUUAGUCGGGACCUAAGCUGAGGCCGAAAGGCGUAGGUGAUGGACAACAGGUUGAUAUUCCUGUACUACCGAAACCGUUUGAGAGAAGGGAUGACACAGUAGGAUAAGCUAAGCACACUGUUGGUUAUGUGUGCCCAAGCAUUGAGGCAGUCAAAGUAGGCAAAUCCGCUUUGAUAAUGCUGGGAUGUGAUGGGGAGCGAAAUUUAGUAGCGAAGUAGCUGAUUUCACACUGUCAAGAAAAGUCUCUAUCGAGGUUAAAGGUACCCGUACCGCAAACCGACACAGGUGGGUGAGGAGAGUAUCCUAAGGCCAGCGAGAGAACUGUUGUUAAGGAACUCGGCAAAAUGACCCCGUAACUUAGGGAUAAGGGGUGCCACCAUCAGGUGGCCGCAGAGAAUAGGCCCAAGCGACUGUUUACCAAAAACAUAGGUUUCUGCUAAGUCGCAAGACGAUGUAUAGGAGCUGACGCCUGCCCGGUGCUGGAAGGUUAAGGGGAUCUGUUAGAGCAAUCGAAGCAGUGAACUUAAGCCCCAGUAAACGGCGGCCGUAACUAUAACGGUCCUAAGGUAGCGAAAUUCCUUGUCGGGUAAGUUCCGACCCGCACGAAAGGCGUAACGAUUUGGGCACUGUCUCAACAACAGAC
Molecule: ribosomal RNA, 1610 nt
Filed under: Clostridioides difficile
Lineage: Bacteria; Bacillati; Bacillota; Clostridia; Peptostreptococcales; Peptostreptococcaceae
Description: partial 23S ribosomal RNA
Rfam family: Bacterial large subunit ribosomal RNA
Source: RNAcentral